RNAcentral lists this non-coding RNA (28 nucleotides) under Mus musculus (house mouse). The record is from RNAcentral. Lineage: Eukaryota; Metazoa; Chordata; Mammalia; Rodentia; Muridae.
UGUUCUUCGGUAGUCCAUGAAUACAUUU